Molecule: unclassified non-coding RNA, 257 nt
Filed under: plant metagenome
Description: partial contains small subunit ribosomal RNA, internal transcribed spacer 1, and 5.8S ribosomal RNA
Source: RNAcentral
UUUCCGUAGGUGAACCUGCGGAAGGAUCAUUCAUAAGUCAGUGUUUUUUACUGGCUCUUUUUUAACAAUCUAGUGCCCACCUUGUGUGCAACGUAUUGUCUUAAAUUUUUAGUCACGUGCAUGUCACAUGAUCACAUAUCGAAUAUAAUAACACCAACUUUUUUACCUUGAAUAAAUUUGUAUGAAUAAUAUUAUAAAUAUAAUUCAAAAUAUAACUUUCAACAACGUAUCUCUUGGCUCGCGCAUCGAUAAAGAAC